RNAcentral lists this ribosomal RNA (380 nucleotides) under uncultured cyanobacterium. RNAcentral describes it as "bacterial SSU rRNA". It matches the Rfam family "Bacterial small subunit ribosomal RNA", at positions 376 to 770 of the family's 1533-position model. The record is from RNAcentral. Lineage: Bacteria; Bacillati; Cyanobacteriota.
CGAAAGCCUGACGGAGCAAUACCGCGUGAGGGAGGAAGGUUUUUGGACUGUAAACCUCUUUUUUAAAGGAAGAAGAAAGUGACGGUACUUUAAGAAUAAGCAUCGGCUAACUCCGUGCCAGCAGCCGCGGUAAUACGGAGGGUGCAAGCGUUAUCCGGAAUUAUUGGGCGUAAAGAGUCCGUAGGUGGUCAUGCAAGUCUGCUGUCAAAGCCCACAGCUCAACUGUGGAUCGGCGGUGGAAACUGCAUGACUUGAGUACGGUAGGGGUAGAGGGAAUUCCCAGUGUAGCGGUGAAAUGCGUAGAUAUUGGGAAGAACACCGGUGGCAAAAGCGCUCUACUGGACCGUAACUGACACUGAGGGACGAAAGCCAAGGUAGCG